RNAcentral lists this long non-coding RNA (1272 nucleotides) under Lathyrus oleraceus (garden pea). RNAcentral describes it as "Pisum sativum (pea) long non-coding RNA (PSAT_LNC034078)". The record is from RNAcentral. Lineage: Eukaryota; Viridiplantae; Streptophyta; Magnoliopsida; Fabales; Fabaceae.
GAGGAUGAGAGAGUGAUGAGAGUGAUUUUCUGGGGAAUCUUUGAGAAUGAUUGAGUGAACCUUGAAAUGAUGAUUGAUGAGCAAAUUCAGUUUAGUGUGAUUUAACUCUAUUAGCUUGGAAAUCAUGCAAAGUUAGUUAAGAUCAAAAUCCGGUAGAGUCAGUUAGUUAGGGUUUCUGUUAUUAAUUCUGUGAGUGGUUAUUGUUAAAUGAUGAGUUAUUGAAGCUCUGUUAAAAGUUAGUUACAUUCUGUUAUGAAAUGUUAAAAGGUUAGUUAGUUAGGAUGGUUAAGAUGAACUCUGUUAGUUGUUGAUUGUCAUGAAAUCGGUUUGAAUUAAUUGAUGGACUCAAAACAUGCUUGAUACUUCCAGUUAGUGUAAAUAAAGUUAGGUUUGGAAUGUAGAGUCAUUUAGAGUUGCAUUAAUUAGAGUUAAUUGAGUUGGGAUAAACACUAAGUGCCAAACUUCAAACUGAUUUGAAUUGGUUGAGAAUAAUUUGUUGUGUGGAGUAGUUCUUAAGAUGGUGGCCCUCUUUAUACACAUGAAAAACAAUGGAUUAUUCAUUGCUAUAGUAGCCAAUCUUGAAUGAAAUUGGUGAUCAUGGCCUUGUUGUUGAUUCUGUUAGAAGAUUGACAUUAGGAUAAAUAUGAAGUGUUCAUUUUUAGUGAUGAAUGCUAGUGAACCAAAUUAUUUUAGUUGUUGCAGAAUGUUUGUUGGAUUUUUAUUGUUAGAUAAAUUGUAUUAGUCUUAUAAAGUUAUUUUUUUUUAGGAUUUUGAAAUUGGAAUUGUGGGUUGUUGGUUGUAAUGUGAUAACUAUGCUUGAAUGUUAAUAUUAGCUUCAUGAACUUGAACUGAGGAUUUGUGAUUGGUUUGUUUGAUGGAGGGCUGGUAUGGGCUUGAGAUGAGGAUAUGCUCAUGAAGGUUUUGGUCAAUGUAUGGUACAAAGUUGGCAUGGAAUCACAUGGAUCAUGAAGAAACCUUUGGCAAGUCAAGGCAUGUGAAGUUUGGAGUGAUCAAAGACUAUGAAUUGGGAAAUGAUUUAGGAUAACAUAGUUAACUUUGGUCAACCGUUUGACCAAAAAGUAAAUAGUUGACCAAAACUUAACUGUAGGUGAAAAUGUAAUUUGUAUGAAAUUGUGAUAUUGUAUUUGGUGUAUUGAAAGUGUAAUCUUUUGGAAAUGAAAAGUCUUUUAUAUUAACUUGUGCAUUAAGAAACAUAUUUUCCCUCCAAAAAAGAAAUGAAUUUGAAUUUGAACGCUUGACCUUUGAAAUAAC